RNAcentral lists this unclassified non-coding RNA (262 nucleotides) under fungal sp. Its description in RNAcentral is "partial contains 5.8S ribosomal RNA, internal transcribed spacer 2, and large subunit ribosomal RNA". Lineage: Eukaryota; Fungi. The record is from RNAcentral.
CGCACAUUGCGCCCGCUAGCAUUCUGGCGGGCAUGCCUGUCCGAGCGUCAUUUCAACCCUCGCGCCCUCUUCCGGGCUGCGGUGUUGGGGACCGGCCCGCCCCCCUCGGGGCGCGCCGCCCCCUAAAUCUAGUGGCGGUCUCGCUGCAGCCUCCCCUGCGUAGUAGCACACCUCGCACCGGAGCGCAGCGCGGCCACGCCGUAAAACCCCCGACCAUCAUGAGUUUGACCUCGGAUCAGGUAGGAAUACCCGCUGAACUUAA